Molecule: ribosomal RNA, 1101 nt
Filed under: Boderia sp. 658
Lineage: Eukaryota; Foraminifera; Allogromiidae
Description: bacterial SSU rRNA
Rfam family: Eukaryotic small subunit ribosomal RNA
Source: RNAcentral
AAGGGCACCACAAGAACGCGUGGAGCAUGUGGCUUAAUUUGACUCAACGCGGGAAAUCUUACCGGGUCCGGACACACUGAGGAUUGACAGGCGCUUGCAUAGCGCGGCCCACGGCUUGCCGUGGUCCGUCGCCAAUGCUUUCAAAUAUGCUAGUCCUUUCAUGAUUGUGUGAUAGGUGGUGCAUGGCCGUUCUUAGUUCGUGGAGUGAUCUGUCUGCUUAAUUGCGUUUCACAAGGGACUUGCAUGGCAUACGUUGGGCCGAGGUGCCCUCCACCUGUUGCCCCUUCAAGGGGCCGGGGGAGUGUUCGCGCCCGGCUUUCAAUCGCCAACAGUCCCGAAGGCAACGAACGUGACCGCAGCCUCUUGUUACCUCUCUGCUUUCCACUUCGGGGCGGCCUUUGCUCUCGGGCGGGGUGUCUUGCCUCGUUGAGAGAGGUAAACUAGAGGGACCGCCGACGUUUUCAAACCGGAGGAAGGUUGCGGCAAUAACAGGUCUGUGAUGCCCUUAGAUGUUCCGGGCUGCACACGUGCUACAAUGAUUAUUGCAGUGAGCAUCUUCACAAGUUCGUGGGAUGUCUGCGCUCGGCCCAAAAUGUUGUGCUGGCCAAGGCCCGUCGGAAGGAUGUCUGCCUGCGGGGUCUCUCGGCCUCAGUGGGCGGAGCGUCCUUUUGAUGGCUGAGGUCGCCGACUUUGGGUUGCAGCGCGCAUCCGUUAUCACCACGCCUGGUUCGAAAGUAAUCAGGUAAUCAAUUCGAAGUAAUGAUUUCCAUCCGCACUUCUGAGCGUUGCGCGGUGGAGACCUCGCGUCAUCCGCCGCGUAGCGUGUGCUCCAUGACUUCGUGGUGGGGACAGACCCUUGUUAAUUGUUGGUCUCGGUCUCAACUAGGAAUGCCUUGUACGGGUCUUUGGUUCAACAAACCACCCGGAAUAUGUCCCUGCCCUUUGUACACACCGCCCGUCGCUCUUACCGAUGGACUUCUCUGUGAGUUUGAGGGACUAGGGCAUCAUGCAGCUCUGCUGCGCGGUGACCGAUGGAAACUUAAACGAACAGUGUGGUCUAAAGGAAAGAGAAGUCGUAACAAGGCAUCGGUAGGUGAACCU